AUGAUACUUAGGAAGUAGUUGAGCUUGAUACACUUUAAUUUUUUUUUUUUUUUUUUUUUUUGCCUGAGCAGGCAAUGGCCCGAAGCUAUCAUCCGUUGGGUUAUGGCUGAACGCCUCUAAGUCAGAACCCGUGCUAGAACGCGACGAUUACCGCCUUGUGCCAUUUUUAGUUGAAUACGAAUAGACCCACGGUCCUGAAUCUUACGAACGUGGGAUUAUCUUGCAGAGCGGAAAGGCUUUGUGAGGUUCCUGCUAAUGUUAAUUUCAAAUAUAGCACGAGAUAAAUCCAUUGCAGACGACUUUAAUUGAACGGGGUAUUGUAAGCAGUAGAGUAGCCUUGUUGCUACGAUCUGCUGAGAUUAAGCCCAUUGUUCUAUAGAUUU
Molecule: non-coding RNA, 383 nt
Filed under: Linnemannia elongata AG-77
Lineage: Eukaryota; Fungi; Mortierellomycota; Mortierellomycetes; Mortierellales; Mortierellaceae
Description: Mortierella elongata AG-77 Eukaryotic large subunit ribosomal RNA
Rfam family: Eukaryotic large subunit ribosomal RNA
Source: Rfam by way of RNAcentral